UCCUCUGUGGACUAUAAUUGGACCCCCGAGUUGACCAGAACUUCGGAGACUCCCCCGACACGACAGACGGAUCCCCAUCGUCCGGACCACUGAGGAUCUCGCCUGUGUUGAAGAACUCCGAGGGACAUGAAGACCACCUAAUCCAUGAUAAAACUGGUAAUACUUUUCUGCAUCCUACCACAACCCCAUGGCCAGAAACCAGCUGAGUGACCAUGGUCUGAAAUAAUUGUGGUAGCAUGCAGAAAAAGUGAAAGGAUCUCUUUAAGCACAAAAAGCUCCAGUUACUUCACAUGAACUUUUAGAAUCCAAUCUCACGUUGAUUCACAAGCUAUUGCCUACUCCCAUUGGGAUGAACCUUACUCUGGUAAAGCAAUUAUUACUUCAUCAAGAUCUAAUAGAGAUCCUAGGAAAAAUCAAGGGGAAUGGACAGAAAACUCUGGUAACUGUUCAUCAUGAUGUGCAAGAAAUACAUCGUGUUGUAGAAAGGGUGAAAAGUGAUGCCGAGCACAAGUGGUGGGAUACCCUUUUCGGGUGGUCACCCACCGCCACCGGUAUCCUGAACAAAUUGUGCCAUCCCAUUGUUGUUCUUCUGAUUUUAGUUAUGAUUGGUUUUGUUUUAUCAGUAAUCUUGCUUAUUGUAAAUUGGAAAAUGAUGAAACGAUUAACAAAAUUAACAUCUAUAAUUAAUGCACACCACUUGGCCGACAUCCUUUACACUAUAGAUGUUCCCAAAACUGUAGACACAAGAAGAUUAUAAGCU
Molecule: long non-coding RNA, 760 nt
Organism: Vidua chalybeata
Lineage: Eukaryota; Metazoa; Chordata; Aves; Passeriformes; Viduidae
Exons: 3
Source: RefSeq, a predicted model, not a curated record